Molecule: ribosomal RNA, 253 nt
Filed under: uncultured bacterium
Lineage: Bacteria
Description: partial 16S ribosomal RNA
Rfam family: Bacterial small subunit ribosomal RNA
Source: RNAcentral
UACAUAGGUCUCAAGCGUUAUCCGGAUUUACUGGGCGUAAAGCGUGCGUAGGUGUUCCGCCAAGUUUUCUGUGAAAUCUCCAGGCUCAACUUGGAAAUUGUAGAAAAAACUGGCGGAAUUGAGUGUGACAGAGGCAAGCGGAAUUCGAGGUGUAGCGGUAAAAUGCGUAGAUAUCUCGAAGAACACCGAUGGCGAAGGCAGCUUGCUGGGUCACUACUGACACUGAGGUACGAAAGCGUGGGUAGCGAACGGG